Molecule: long non-coding RNA, 1536 nt
Filed under: Homo sapiens (human)
Lineage: Eukaryota; Metazoa; Chordata; Mammalia; Primates; Hominidae
Description: non-protein coding TMEM202-AS1:35
Source: RNAcentral
CUUCCUGGGCCUGGGACCCGAGGGGAGCCGAGCGGGAAUUGCUUUCCUGGUUCGAUCCGCUGCCGCUGUGAGGGCCGAGCGGAAACCCGUAGACCUUUUAUGUGAAGAGAUUGCGGCCUCCUGGUCACCAGUCACCGAGAGAGGGACCCCUGGACCGCCUACGUGGUGGUGUCUGCCGCAGGCCAUAGGGAUCCAGCCCACUUAGGCAGUCCCUUGGGGACGCGGCCUUCCCUCCGGAGCGGAAAGGCGCUUCCCGCCCGCCCUGCGGUAAUCCCGGAAGCCCUCAGCCGUUAAGCUAAAAUUUCUGUUGCUUUGGCUACUGAUGGAAACCUGUUGUAAGUGGAACCUCUAAACUGUAUGACAGGUGAACCCACUUUAGGUAGCUGUGUGAUUCUGUCCACUUGUACAGACGUGCAGUGGUUUUUAAGUCUCCUAUAAUGACGUCAUUUUAAAGAGGCAUUUCCUCCACCCCGCUGACAAGAGCGCCUCUUGAGGGCCCUAAACAAUGUAAACAGCGAUGAUUUUCAUGAAUUGAGCACUGUGUAAGGGCUUUACAUAUAUUCUGUCUCAUCUUCACGGAGCCAUAGUACCCAUUUUAUACCUGAGGAACCUGAAGCUCAGAAAGGAAAAGGGACCUGGCCAAGACCACAUAACCCUUGCCCUAUUUUAACCGCUGGAUGCCCCAAAACAUGAAUCAUAAAAAUGCUUUGUAAUGUAGAUAUAUUAUGUACUAUGUAGUACAUAAAAGACAUGAAUGCUUCAACAAAAUACAGGCAAUAAUAGAAAUAUCUACAAGGGCCAAAUGUAGCCAGAGAGAUAAUGCUUGAAUCUCAUCUGAAAGUGUGCUAUGUGAGCUGAGUGUUGAUGAAUGGCUAGGAGUUCAACAGAGAAGGUAGGGAAGAUGGUCUAGCCGCAGAGAACAAGCAAAAGCGCAGAAGGUGUCAAGUAAGUAAUAGUUUGGGGAGCUUAAAGUGCAUGGAGGGUACAUGGCAAAAUAUUAGGCAAGUUAGUCAGGGGUCAUGUCAGUUAAGAGCAUUUUAUGCCUAAGAGUGGGCUUAAAUCUUUGCAAACAGGACAUGCGAGCCAGAGAAGUGUUAUGAAGGAAGAAGAGGCAUAAGAAGGCUCCCUCUUGAGAUAAUCUGAAGAAUUGGCCAGAUUGAAAACCUUUUAAAAUCAAAACCCCUGAUUUGUUGAUAAAUCUUACUGUUCAACCUAUAGGUUCCCUUUGGAAAUUGAUUUUGAAAAGUGAAAAAUUCCAUUAUAAUGUUAAAAAGCCUCUUCCAAUUUGUCCAUUUUGUAAGUUUUAAAAUACCGAUAAUUAUAUUUCUUAACCUCAGGAUUUACAAAGUAAAGCAUUUAACCUCAAUACUGGUAGUCUAGGUUUUUGUUGUUGUUGUUGUUGUUUGUUUUUUUCUUGAGACGGAGUCUCGCUCUGUUGCCCAGAUUGGAGUACAGUGGUGAUCUCAGCUCACUGCAGCCUCUGCCUCCCAGGUUCAAGCGAUUCUCCUGUCUCAGCCUCCUGAGUAGCUGGGACUA